CGUAACAAGGUCUCCGUAGGUGAACCUGCGGAGGGAUCAUUACAAGAACGCCCGGGCUUCGGCCUGGUUAUUCAUAACCCUUUGUUGUCCGACUCUGUUGCCUCCGGGGCGACCCUGCCUUCGGGCGGGGGCUCCGGGUGGACACUUCAAACUCUUGCGUAACUUUGCAGUCUGAGUAAACUUAAUUAAUAAAUUAAAACUUUUAACAACAGAUCUCUUGGUUCUGGCAUCGAUGAAGAACGCAGCGAAAUGCGAUAAGUAAUGUGAAUUGCAGAAUUCAGUGAAUCAUCGAAUCUUUGAACGCACAUUGCGCCCCCUGGUAUUCCGGGGGGCAUGCCUGUUCGAGCGUCAUUUCACCACUCAAGCCUCGCUUGGUAUUGGGCAACGCGGUCCGCCGCGUGCCUCAAAUCGUCCGGCUGGGUCUUCUGUCCCCUAAGCGUUGUGGAAACUAUUCGCUAAAGGGUGUUCGGGAGGCUACGCCGUAAAACAACCCCAUUUCUAAGGUUGACCUCGGAUCAGGUAGGGAUACCCGCUGAACUUAAGCAUAUCA
RNAcentral lists this ribosomal RNA (550 nucleotides) under uncultured fungus. RNAcentral's name for it is "eukaryotic LSU rRNA". The stretch from base 198 to 351 matches the Rfam family "5.8S ribosomal RNA". The record is from RNAcentral. Lineage: Eukaryota; Fungi.